GACGUAGGGCGCGAGCGUUGUCCGGAUUUAUUGGGCGUAAAGAGCUCGUAGGCGGUUUGUCGCGUCGUUCGUGAAAACUCACAGCUCAACUGUGAGCUUGCGGUCGAUACGGGCAGGCUAGAGUUCGGUAGGGGAGACUGGAAUUCCUGGUGUAGCGGUGAAAUGCGCAGAUAUCAGGAGGAACACCGGUGGCGAAGGCGGGUUGCUGGGCUGACACUGACGCUGAUGCGCGAAAGCCAGGGGAGCGAACGGG
Molecule: ribosomal RNA, 253 nt
Filed under: uncultured bacterium
Lineage: Bacteria
Description: partial 16S ribosomal RNA
Rfam family: Bacterial small subunit ribosomal RNA
Source: RNAcentral